Molecule: ribosomal RNA, 371 nt
Filed under: uncultured bacterium
Lineage: Bacteria
Description: bacterial SSU rRNA
Rfam family: Bacterial small subunit ribosomal RNA
Source: RNAcentral
AGAGACUGCAAGCGUUAUUCGGAUUCACUGGGCGUAAAGGGUGCGCAGGCGGCCGGGUGUGUGAGGCGUGAAAGCCCGAUGCUUAACAUCGGAAUUGCACCUCAAACUACACGGCUAGAGCAUUGGAGAGGGUAGCGGAAUUCACGGUGUAGCAGUGAAAUGCGUAGAUAUCGUGAGGAACACCAGAGGCGAAGGCGGCUACCUGGACAAUUGCUGACGCUCAGGCACGAAAGCGUGGGGAGCAAAAGGGAUUAGAUACCCCUGUAGUCCACGCCCUAAACGGUGCACACUAGGUCUUGGCGGAUUCGACCCCACCAGGGCCCAAGCUAACGCGUUAAGUGUGCCGCCUGAGGACUACGGUCGCAAGACUA